GGUGGCUCAGUUGGUAGAGUGCUUGCCUUGCAUGCAUGAAGCCCUGGGUUCGAUUCUUCAGCACCA
Molecule: transfer RNA, 66 nt
Filed under: Dipodomys ordii (Ord's kangaroo rat)
Lineage: Eukaryota; Metazoa; Chordata; Mammalia; Rodentia; Heteromyidae
Rfam family: tRNA
About the family: Transfer RNA (tRNA) molecules are approximately 80 nucleotides in length. Their secondary structure includes four short double-helical elements and three loops (D, anti-codon, and T loops).
Source: Rfam by way of RNAcentral